Molecule: unclassified non-coding RNA, 352 nt
Filed under: soil metagenome
Description: partial contains 5.8S ribosomal RNA, internal transcribed spacer 2, and large subunit ribosomal RNA
Rfam family: 5.8S ribosomal RNA (bases 1-120)
Source: RNAcentral
GAUGAAGAACGUACCGAAAUGCGAUAAGUAAUGUGAAUUGCAGAAUUCAGUGAAUCAUCGAAUCUUUGAACGCACAUUGCGCCCGCCAGUAUUCUGGCGGGCAUGCCUGUUCGAGCGUCAUUACAACCCUCAGGCCCCCGGGCCUGGCGUUGGGGAUCGGCGGAGCCCCCCGUGGGCACACGCCGUCCCCCAAAUACAGUGGCGGUCCCGCCGCAGCUUCCAUCGCGUAGUAGCUAACACCUCGCGACUGGAGAGCGGCGCGGCCACGCCGUAAAACACCCAACUCUUCUGAAGUUGACCUCGAAUCAGGUAGGAAUACCCGCUGAACUUAAGCAUAUCAAUAAGCGGAGGA